CUGCAGCCAAUUGAGCCGACUGAGUUCCUUUCCUCAUGGGGGCCCAGUGUGCAAUGGCUGCAAACAGCAGCUUCCCUGGUAGUGAUGCAGCCUGUCUGUUGUAUGGGUUGCUCUAAGGGACCUUGGAGACAGAC
Molecule: small nucleolar RNA, 134 nt
Filed under: Colobus angolensis palliatus
Lineage: Eukaryota; Metazoa; Chordata; Mammalia; Primates; Cercopithecidae
Description: Small nucleolar RNA SNORA70 (ENSCANG00000006562.1)
Rfam family: Small nucleolar RNA SNORA70
About the family: snoRNA U70 seems to be exclusive to mammals and is a member of the H/ACA class of snoRNA which contain H (ANANNA) and ACA box motifs. H/ACA box snoRNAs are involved in the conversion of uridines to pseudouridines (5-ribosyluracil) a constituent of structural RNAs (transfer, ribosomal, small nuclear, and small nucleolar).
Source: Rfam by way of RNAcentral